AUUGAACGCUGGCGGCAUGCUUUACACAUGCAAGUCGAACGGUAACAGGCCUUCGGGUGCUGACGAGUGGCGAACGGGUGGGUAAUGCAUCGGAACGUGCCCAGAGGUGGGGGAUAACGCAGCGAAAGCUGUGCUAAUACCGCAUGUGGUCUGAGGAUGAAAGCGGGGGACCAGGCAGCAAUGUUUGGCCUCGCGCCUUUGGAGCGGCCGAUGUCAGAUUAGGUAGUUGGUGGGGUAAAGGCCUACCAAGCCGACGAUCUGUAGCUGGUCUGAGAGGACCAAUCGCUACAUUGUCACUGAGACACGGCACCGACUCCGACGGGAGGCCGCGGUGCGGAAUUUUGCACGAGGCGCGCAAGCCUGAUCCAGCAAUGCCGCGGGAGGGAAGAAGGACUUCGGGUGGUAAACUGCUGUUGUACGGAACGAAAAGGAUCUGGCUAAGAGCUGAGGCUGAUGACGGUACCGUAAGAAGAAGCACCGGCUAACUACGUG
Molecule: ribosomal RNA, 492 nt
Filed under: uncultured bacterium
Lineage: Bacteria
Description: partial 16S ribosomal RNA
Rfam family: Bacterial small subunit ribosomal RNA
Source: RNAcentral